Molecule: ribosomal RNA, 396 nt
Filed under: uncultured bacterium
Lineage: Bacteria
Description: partial 16S ribosomal RNA
Rfam family: Bacterial small subunit ribosomal RNA
Source: RNAcentral
AUACGUAGGUGGCAAGCGUUGUCCGGAAUUAUUGGGCGUAAAGCGCAUGUAGGCGGUGCCUUAAGUCUGUCGUGAAACUGCGGGGCUUACCCCCGUAUGGCGAUGGAAACUGUGGCACUUGAGUGCAGGAGAGGAAAGGGGAACUCCCAGUGUAGCGGUGAAAUGCGUAGAUAUUGGGAAGAACACCGGUGGCGAAGGCGCCUUUCUGGACGGUGUCUGACGCUGAGAUGCGAAAGCCAGGGUAGCGAACGGGAUUAGAUACCCCGGUAGUCCUGGCUGUAAACGAUGGGUACUAGGUGUGGGAGGUAUCGACCCCUUCCGUGCCGGAGUUAACGCAAUAAGUACCCCGCCUGGGGAGUACGGCCGCAAGGCUUAAACUCAAAGGAAUUGACGGGG